RNAcentral lists this long non-coding RNA (7854 nucleotides) under Lactuca sativa (garden lettuce). RNAcentral describes it as "long non-coding RNA (LSAT_LNC001113)". The record is from RNAcentral. Lineage: Eukaryota; Viridiplantae; Streptophyta; Magnoliopsida; Asterales; Asteraceae.
UUGUUAUUUAUGUAGUAUUAUAAUCGUUGAUGCAAAUAAAUAUAUUCGUUAUUUUUUAACAUAUAUGAGAAAAUUUUAGUUUGUAAAUUAAAAAAUAUAAUGAUAUUGUAUAACUAAAUGUUAAAUUGCUUAUAAAAUUAAAAUGACCACAAUAUAAGAAGGUUUUUAUUGGAUUACCUUAUUUAUUGGAUUACCUUAUGAGAUGUAGAAUUUAAAAUUGUAAAAAAAAUAUAUUAUUAUUAAUAUAAUUAGCGCCAGGCAUCAAAAACUACUCCCUCAUUUUCAAUCCUCGGGUCUCUCCAACUUCGCAUUACAACCGCAUAAACUCACUAUUUACGGUUAUAUCACGAUCAUUUUCAUUCUGGUUCUCCUUCCUCCCACGAUCUCCUUCAUCACGAUCUGAAGAUCGCAACCCUUGCCCACGACACCCUCUAUAUCCUUUUCAACUUCUCACGUUUCUUCAACCCCCGCGGGUCAAUGCAUAUACCAAUCGUUGAAUUUACCAGUUGCUUCUCCCUGUAACACCGUAAAUUUCAAAAUAAUUUUUCGCAUAAUAUAAAAAAUAUUCAUUUAAUUUUCAUAAAAACAUCAAUGUUUGAAACUCCAAUCCAUGUCAUACAAAGAAUCCCAAGAUCACAUAACAUAAAAAUCUCAUGUGUGUGUACUGAUCAAGCCGGCGCUUUCCCACGGUCAUCACUAGUACCUGAAACAAACAACACCAACACUGUAAGCACAAAGCUUAGUGAGUUCCCUAAAAUACCACGCAUAACACAUAUUAGCCACUCGAGGCUAGAACUCUGUGGGUCUGUAGACCGUACUUUGUGAACCCUCUGCUUCUAACUCUGGGAACCUUCCGGUUCCAAAUCUAUAAACAUGCACAACAUAAAUCACAUAGAAAUAAUGCAGUACAACACAUAACAUACAUAUGGCAUACAAAUACUCUGUCACAUAACUCUGAUUACCUACUCAAGGUAAAGUAUAGUGAGAAGACUCACCUCGCGUAUCUCGAUAACUCGCAAAUCCCGGAAAUCACUCGCGCUCGAUCCUCCGAGCUAUAAUCCUCCUAUAACACAAUAUAUCUCUAAUUAACACUUUCUCAACUAAGGUUGACUACCCCUAUCAAGUCAACACUGGUCAACUCUGGUCAACGGUCAACGGUCAACUUUGACCGGACUCGGCGAGUGCACUAGAGCGACUCGGCGAGUCUAUACGUGUUCACUGACUCCCUAGGAUCCUCUCUUGACACGUCGAGUACUUCCCUGACUCGACGAGUUCCACCUGGCAUGAAUCGCGGGGCCACCACGACUCAACUCGCCGAGUCUCAAGAACAACUCGGCGAGUUCCAGCUUGACUCAGUCCACCUGUCAACCCUCUCUGACUCUCCCUGACUCACUGAGUCAACCCUUAACUCGGUAAGACCACUCGCUGAGUGGUUAUGGACAAUCUUCAUGCUACUCGCCGAGUCUGUUCUUCGGACUCGGCGAGUCUAAGCCAUGCAUGAACUCAAACUCACUCCUGAGGUCAGAUCCGUUCCAGUAACUCAUAGAUCCAGUCCUUCCAAGCACAUUUAUCACGUAAAGUUACAAUCUUGGUGCUCAUGCAAAGGUCCAAAGGCCUUAUUUGAUGAUAUGGUCUCUAGAAUGCUAUUCUAAGCUCAUGGCCUCCAUUAACACUCAUAAAGCUUGAGGGAAAAGAGUCUCUGGACCUCUUUGGGUCCAGAUCUAAAGCAUCAACACAAAAAGAGGCCAAUUACUCCAUGAAUCAUUCCACAAAGAAGCCCUAACUCUAAGAUUUACACCAAGGGCUGAGAAAGGAACGAAUGGUUACCUCAAAUGAAGUCUCUGGACUCAGGAAUCACUGGAUUAGCACCUCCUUUGGUCUCCUCUUGCCUUGAUCCUCUUCUAUAUGCAAAAUCACCCACAAAUAAUCAAGGAUCUUCCUCUUUUCUCUCACAAAACGCUCAAGGACUCUUUUAGGGUUCUCUCUGGGGUUGGUGGCCGCAAAUGACGGCCAUAAGCCCCUUUAAAUAGGUCUCAUACCCUGAAAUUUAGGGUUUCAUUAAACAGCGUGGACUCGCCGAGUCCACCUUUUGGACUCGCCGAGUCCGGACGCGAACCCUUUCCCAAACCGCGAUCAUACUCGGCGAGUUUGAGCUCCAACUCGCCGAGUCUCCUCACAAAACACCAAAAUUAAGAAGAAUAAAUAAUACCUGGGAAUCCGGGCUGUUACAAUUCUCCCCCACUAGAACUAGACUUCGCCCUCGAAGUCUCGCUCUGCAAAUAACUCCGGAUGCUGCUCACGCAUCUCAAGCUCCGGCUCCCAAGUCAUCUCGGACCCCUUACGAUGCCGCCACUGAACCAAAACCAAGGGUAUCUCCUUGUUCCUCAGAACCUUGAUUUUCCGAUCUCUGAUUGCCACUGGUCUCUCAGCAUAAUUCAGGCUCGCAUCCACCUGAAUAUCCUCUAAUGGAACCACUGCCGACUCAUCGGCUAUACAUUUCCUCAGUUGCGACACAUGAAAAGUGUCGUGAAUCUGCCCCAACUCUGCUGGCAAAUCCAAACGAUAGGCUACCCGGCCUACCCUCGCGAUCACUCGGAAUGGACCAAUAUAUCGGGGCCCCAACUUGCCCCUCUUCCUGAAUCGAAUCACUCCUUUCCAAGGAGAGACCUUCAGGAGUACAAGGUCACCGACCUGAAACUCAAGCUCGGACCGGCGUCUGUCUGCAUAGCUCUUCUGACGACUCUGAGCGGUCAACAACCUCUGUCUGACCUGUUGGAUCUGCUUUGUCGUCUGAAGCACGAUCUCUGUACUGUCCAACCUCUCCCCAACAAAUGGGGGUCCGACAACUCCUCCUGUACAACAGCUCAAAGGGCGGCAUACCAAUGCUCGAAUGAUGGCUGUUGUUGUAGGAAAACUCUGCCAAGGGUAAAUACGCAUCCCAGCUACCCCCGAAAUCCAACACACAUGCUCGGAGCAUGUCCUCAAGCGUCUGAAUCGUCCGCUCACUCUGACCGUCUGUCUGGGGAUGAUAUGCGGUACUAAAAUGCAGUCUAGUACCCAACUCCUCAUGAAACUUCUUCCAGAAUCUGGAAGUGAAACGCACAUCACGGUCUGAAACAAUCGAGAUCGGCACCCCAUGCCGAGAUACCACUUCCCUCACAUACACCUCUGCCAAUUUCUCUGCUGAAGAACUCUCGCUGAUAGCAAGGAAGUGAGCGCUCUUCGUCAAUCUGUCCACAAUCACCCAAAUUGCAUCAACUCCUCUGGCAGUCCUUGGCAAUUUGGUGAUGAAAUCCAUAGUGAUCUGUUCCCACUUCCAUUCGGGAACCUCCAAUGGCUGCAACUUACCAUGCGGCCUCUGGUGCUCGGCCUUAACCCUACGGCAGGUCAAGCACCUCUCAACAAACCACGCAACAUCCCUCUUCAUACAGGGCCACCAAUACUCCUUUCUCAGAUCCAAAUACAUCUUAGUGGCCCCCGGAUGGAUCGAAAAUUUCGACCGAUGAGCCUCCUCCAUCAAAAUGGUACGCGUUCCUCCCACAAACGGCACCCAGAUACGCCCCUGAAAUGUCAUAAGCCCCCGACCAUCGGUAACGAACUCUGAAACCAAACCAACAACCCGUUCCCUCUUCUGCAUCUCAGGUUGCACAGCCUCGGCCUGUGCCCCACGAAUGGCGUCCAACACUGGAGCUAUCACGGUCAAUCUCAAACAUACAUCCCGCAGCGGGGUGCUCUCCGCCCUGCGGCUCAGUGCAUCGGCUACAACAUUAGCCUUGCCUGGGUGGUACAGGAUCUCACAAUCAUAAUCCUUGACCACAUCCAACCACCUUCUCUGUCGCAUAUUUAGGUUGGGCUGAUCCAUCAAAUACUUCAAACUCUUAUGGUCCGUGUAUAUCGUACACCGAACCCCAUACAAGUAGUGACGCCAAAUCUUGAGGGCGAACACCACUGCCCCCAACUCUAGAUCAUGGGUGGGAUAUCUCGUCUCAUGAGGCUUCAGCUGCCUCGAUGCAUAUGCUAUCACAUGCCCUCUCUGCAUCAGCACCGCUCCCAACCCCAAAAUCGAUGCAUCACAGUAUACCACAAAGUCCUCCAUCCCUUCCGGGAGAGCUAACACCGGGGCUUCGCACAACCUUUGGCGAAGUGUCUCAAAGGAGGCCUGCUGCUCGGGGCCCCAUGAAAAAGCAACACCCUUCCGGGUCAAUCUGGUGAGUGGCACUGCGAUCUUGGAGAAAUCCUUGAUAAAUCUCCGAUAAUACCCUGCCAACCCUAGGAAACUCCUGAUCUCGGAGGGUGACUUCGGCACCUCCCAACUCAUCACUGCCUCAACCUUGGCCGGAUCGACCAAAAUCCCUUCCUGGUUAACGAGAUGUCCUAAGAACUGGACCUCCCGCAACCAGAAAUCACACUUGGAGAAUUUGGCAUAAAGCCUCUCCGAUCUCAGAACUCCGAGAACCUCUCUCAAAUGCUCCUCAUGCUGCUCUCUAGAUCUCGAAUAUACCAGAAUGUCGUCGAUAAAUACAAUCACCGACCGAUCCAGCAUCGGCCUACACACUCGGUUCAUGAGAUCCAUGAACACUGCCGGGGCAUUGGUGAGCCCGAAAGGCAUCACCACAAACUCAUAAUGCCCAUAACGCGUCCUGAACGCUGUCUUCUGGACGUCCUCAUCCCGCACCCUCACCUGAUGAUAUCCAGACCUCAAAUCGAUCUUGGAGAACCAAGAUGCUCCCUGCAACUGAUCGAACAAAUCGUCGAUCCUCGGCAACGGGUAACGGUUCUUGACCGUCAGCUUGUUCAACUCCCGGUAAUCAAUACACAUCCGGUGUGAACCAUCCUUCUUCUUGACGAACAGGAUAGGCGCUCCCCACGGCGAGCUGCUCGGCCGAAUAAACCCCUUCCCCAGCAGCUCCUGAAGCUGCGAGGAUAACUCUUGCAUCUCUGGAGGUGCAAGGCGAUAAGGCACCUUAGCGAUAGGCGCGGACCCCGGAACCAAGUCGAUACUGAACUCCACUUGCCUCAUAGGAGGCACACCCGGCAACUCCUCAGGAAAUACAUUCGGGAACUCACGCACUACGGGAACCUCCUCAACUGACCUCGGUCUCUCGGAAUCCACCCGCGUAUCCAUCACAUACGCCACAAAACCCUUACAGCCCUGCUGUAGACACUGCCUCGCCCUACCGGCCGAACAAAACGCUGAUCAUGAACGUGUACCCUCGCCGUACACCGUAAGAACUCCCCCACUAGGGUCUCGUAUGGUCACCAGCUGUCGCUCGCAGUCGAUAACCACACCGAAUCUGCUCAACCAGUCCAUGCCCACAAUGACACAGACAUCACCCAUCGCAAUAGGAACCAGAUAAAUCGGGAACUCAACACCGAAAAUCUCGACUACGCACCCUCGGAGAACCUCCGUGGCAUAUAUCACCCUCUCGUCAGCUAUGGAAACUCUCAGAGGCUGACUCAACGCCUCACGACUAACACUGAUAUGCUGACUAAAAGCCAAAGAUACAAAAGACCGACUCACACCCGAGCCAAAUAACACCAAGGCAGGUACAGAAUUCACAAGAAAAGUACCUACGCAUAACAUAAUAUAAGCAUAAUAAUCACUGGUCGACUCUCGGUGGCUCUGAUGGCGGCAGGGGCAGACCCCUGAGGUGCUCCCUGAGAUGAUCCUCGCAAUUGCGGACACUCUUGCCUUCCGGUGUCCAGUCUGGUUGCAGUGGAAACACACCGCAAAUCCCUUGGGGCAGUCCUUGGCCAUAUGCCCCUCCUUGCCACACUUGUAGAAAGAUCCCACUCUAUAGACUCCAUCGUGACCCUUGUUGCACUUCCCACAUGUGCGGCCCUUCUGGCUCCCUGGUUUGGGAUCAGCGGGCUUGGCCCGCUUGGCUGCCGGCUGAGACUGCGUCGGUCGCCGAUCCCUCACCUGAGACUCCGCCUCCUCCCUGGCCUGGGUCUCUAGCUCAAUCUCCCUCUUCCGGGCAUUUGCCUGAAGCUCAGCAAAUGUCCGAUACGAGGAGCUUGCCGCAAACUCCCGAAUACCUCUCCUCAAAAUACUCAGAUAUCGGCUCAUACGUGCCUGCUCGGUGGACACGUGCUCAGGGCAGAACAUCGCCCUCUCAUGGAACAUCCUGGUAAUCGCCAUAACAGAAUCAGUACCCUGCUUGAGGGUCAGAAACUCCUGGGCCAAACGCUCCCUCUCCACUUGGGGAACGUACUCAUCUCGGAACAUGGCAGUGAACCUCUCCCAGGUCACUGCCGCAAGCUCAGCAGGCGUAAAGUGCGCCAUCACAAACUUCCACCAGUCUUCGCUCCCAAGCGAAGCUGGUUCAGCAUAAACCGAACCUUCAAAUGCUCAGGAGAUGAGCAAGUGAAGAAACACCCCUCUAUGUCAGAAAUCCAUCUCAUAGCCGCCACCGGGUCCUGGGUCCCAUCAAACUCUGGCGGUUUUGUGUUGCUGAACUCUCGGAACAGCAACGCAUCACCACCAUGCAGCCUCGCGGCAGCAAUAGCUGCGGUGGCCGCUGCAACAGCAGCCUCAGAAAGAGCGGCAUAACGCUCGUCGAAGGUCUCAAUCAACGUGGUCUUAAUAGACCCGAACAUCUCUGGUAUCUCUGCCCUGAUGGCCGCAGCCACCUCCUCAUGGAUGAUCCGGCGGAUCUCCUCAUCACUGGUCUCACUGCUCUCAGGCAUCAGACGUGUCCUCACCAUGAUCUACCUCUGAAAUACAACAUACGAUAAAUUAGAAUCCAUUCGAGCAUACUCACACUCGACAACUCAUCCCUCCUUGAUCCUUGGUAUUCCAAAGAUUCCUACUUGGGCUGUACACCGCUCCGGUGCUUUCAGUAGUACGGGCCCAAUACUACUGUCCGCACCGUAUCAGAAUACACCCCAAGUCCUCCUCUUCGGAUCCCAAAUUCCAAGUACUCUAUCAUGCAUAAUCCACUCUCUAACAGAUCUCUCAUAAGCCCCUCGCUGCUACCUACUCACUCUCAAGCAUCUCAUAGCAGCUCACCUCUCCCUAGGCUAAGGCAUCACAAAUCAGGCCACUCUAGUCCUAAUAGGAGUACCUAGCCUACUCUAGCAUGAGAAUACAUCAUAUCAAUAUCAAUAUCACAUAACAUGAGGGUAUUUUGGGAAAUCACCGUUCGGGCGCGGACUGAUCGUACACACAACUCUGCUCUGCGUUCUUCCAAAAAUCUUUUACUCUUUUUGAAAAUACUUCUCAAAUCCUCAGUUUGAGUUCAAAUACGCCCGAAGGUGUACUCGAAUCCCUCAAACCAAGGCUCUGAUACCAACUUGUAACACCGUGAAUUUCAAAAUAAUUUUUCGCAUAAUAUAAAAACAUAUUCAUUUAAUUUUCAUAAAAACAUCAAUGUUUGAAACUCCAAUCCAUGUCAUACAAAGAAUCCCAAGAUCACAUAACAUAAAAAUCCCAUGUGUGUGUAUUGAUCAAGCCGACGCCUUCCCACGGUCAUCACUAGUACCUGAAACAAACAACACCAACACUAUAAGCGCAAAGCUUAGUGAGGUCCCCAAAAUACCACGCAUAACACAUAUUAGCCACUCGAGGCUAGAACUCUGUGGGUCUGUAGACCCUACUCUGUGAACCCUCUGCUUCUAACUCUAGGAAACUUCCGGUUCCAACUCUAUAAACAUGCACAGCAUAAAUCACAUAGAAAUAAUGCAGUACAACACAUAACAUACAUAUAGCAUACAAAUACUCUGUCACAUAACUCUGAUUACCUACUCAAGGUAAAGUAUAGUGAGAAGACUCACCUCGCGUAUCUCGAUAACUCGCAAAUCCCGGAAAUCACUCGCGCUCGAUCCUCCGAGCUAUAAUCCUCCUAUAACACA